Heterocephalus glaber (naked mole-rat) is the source of this 1996-nucleotide long non-coding RNA. RefSeq lists it as uncharacterized. Lineage: Eukaryota; Metazoa; Chordata; Mammalia; Rodentia; Bathyergidae. The record is from RefSeq and is a predicted model, not a curated record.
GUCCACAAGUCCUUUUCCAUACCGCUGAUAUUUUGUAGAGGGUUUUUCCAUCUGCCCGGAGGACAGAGUUCGUGCUCUGUCAUUUUCCUUCUGAUAUUUUGUUUAGUUUGGGGUGUUGGGGUGAUCCUCUCAGAAUGAGUUAAAAUUCCCUUCGCUUCUGUUUCCGGGAAGAGUUUGUAAAGAUUUGGGGUCAUUUCUUCCUUAGUUGUUUGGUUGAAUCCACCGAGAACUCCUCCCAGGGCUCUUGCUGGAGCCUCUGUGAAUCAUCGUUUCGGCUUCUCUCACAGCCUUCCUCAGUGAUGUAGAAGAACAAAACAGCACAGUAUGCAGAGAGGUGGUACCAGAGCCCAGAGCCCUCUGACGUUCCUCUUGAUGCAGUGCUUAAAAGCGCUUCCUGUUUCGUCACUGAGCGUGGUUCUCACUGUAGAGCCUCUGAGCCUCCGAGCCACCUGCAGACCGGGCCAGCACCCGCAUGUCCACGGAACUGCCGCGGGGACAGCGCUGGCAGUGCGUCCAGGAUGCUGAGCCAGAGUAGCGACCAUGCUCCGGUGACAGCAAGGCAGGGCUGCAUGGCCGCACCUCCUGGGUCACACUGGGACCCAAGGCCCUCUGGACAGGGCGAGUGUGUCAGUGACACUGCCCAGCACCGCCUCCCCGGGCUGAGUGGCCGAGAAAGUCCUGCUUGAGACACACAGCGGCGGCUCCUGCCGGCUUCUGCCGAGGUGGACGCAGUGAAGGGUCUGCGUCCCUCCCAUGAGAGGCACCUGCUUCUGGUCACUACAGCUCGUGGUACGCAGUGGGGACAGCUCAGCCCACUUGCUGGAGGAGAAGGAGGCUGGGAAGAGACUGCUCAGGCAGGGGUGUGCCCUGCCCAGGGGACAUCCUGCUGGAUGCCGAGGGCGACAUGAAAGUGAGUGACUUGGGGCUCGAGGGGAGCCAAGUUCCCUGUCUUGUGCCCCAGAAAUGUCCUCAGGCAAGGAGGGUAACAGCCCCUCGGCGGUGGGGUCAUCCUGUUGCUUCCCCUGGACUCCACUCUGGAGCUGCAGGCAAGUGCCCGAGGGAGGAGCAACCUCUGUCCUCUCUCCCUGGACACGCAGAGCUCCCUCUGCCAGCUUCUCUCUCAGCCCCAGGCACAGGCCCAUGCUUGGGACCACCCUGGGGUACCCGUCCCUGCCAGUCCUCCACCGGAGCUGCCCCCAACUGCCUGAGCCCCAAACUCUGAGGGGCCUGUCUCUGGCUGUGACCCUCAGGAGAUGACAGAGGGCACUGGUGACCAUGGCCACGCGGCUCAUGCUGGAAUGGCCGGGAUGGUGGCGCACAGGCUGCGCCCUCUGUGUGAAGCCCGCCACCCUGGAGAUCCCAGCCCCUCGACCCUCCUCCCAGGAGGAGGCCCAGCGAGCCUGCCCUGGGCCCCAUCCCUUUCCUGCCCGCUGUUCACCUCUUUGGCCUACAGAUGGGGACCCUGCUCCCAGCGAAGCCACGGCCUCUGCCGGCCGUAAGAGGCAGGCUGGACAGUGUGUGGCCAGGAGCCUGGCCACCAUCUGGGCCUGCAUUUGGACCCUUCUCUGCCACUGCCGGUCAACCAGCCGGCAGGAAACACACCCUGGGUGUAGAACCAAGGGACUCGAUAGCAGAGCCAUGCACACAGCAGUGGAGAGCAGAGGACCCUGGACUCCUUGGGGAUGCAGAAGAGGAGGUGGCAGGCGAGGAUGCCAGCAGCUGCAGAGGGAGGAGAGCAGGAUGUCUGGCCCGCUGGGGGCGGGGCAGCAGGCGCAGAGGGCUCCUGAGUCACUUCCCCAGCACCUCUCCCUUGUUUCUGGGAUAGCAGAGGUGGAUUUUAAUAAAUUGAUGUUUCUACCACCCAAAUUCAAAGACCCAGUUCAAAAAUGGGCAUCUGAAAUGAACAGACAUUUCUCAGACAAAGAAGUAAAAGCAGCAAAUAAAUAUAUGAAAAAAUGUUCAUCAUCACUGGUCAUUUGAGAGAUGCAGAUGAAAA